GACGAACGCUGGCGGCGUGCUUAACACAUGCAAGUCGAACGGAAAGGCCCUGCUUUUGUGGGGUGCUCGAGUGGCGAACGGGUGAGUAACACGUGAGUAACCUGCCCUUGACUUUGGGAUAACUUCAGGAAACUGGGGCUAAUACCGGAUAGGAGCUCCUGCUGCAUGGUGGGGGUUGGAAAGUUUCGGCGGUUGGGGAUGGACUCGCGGCUUAUCAGCUUGUUGGUGGGGUAGUGGCUUACCAAGGCUUUGACGGGUAGCCGGCCUGAGAGGGUGACCGGCCACAUUGGGACUGAGAUACGGCCCAGACUCCUACGGGAGGCAGCAGUGGGGAAUAUUGCACAAUGGGCGGAAGCCUGAUGCAGCAGCGCCGCGUGCGGGAUGACGGCCUUCGGGUUGUAAACCGCUUUCGCCUGUGACGAAGCGUGAGUGACGGUAGUGGGUAAAGAAGCACCGGCUAACUACG
This 466-nucleotide ribosomal RNA is filed under the name uncultured bacterium. RNAcentral describes it as "partial 16S ribosomal RNA". It matches the Rfam family "Bacterial small subunit ribosomal RNA", at positions 28 to 505 of the family's 1533-position model. The record is from RNAcentral.